This 729-nucleotide ribosomal RNA is filed under the name uncultured archaeon. Its description in RNAcentral is "bacterial SSU rRNA". It matches the Rfam family "Archaeal small subunit ribosomal RNA", at positions 21 to 754 of the family's 1478-position model. The record is from RNAcentral.
GGUUACUGCUAUCGGUGUUCGCCUAAGCCAUGCGAGUCAUAUGUAGCAAUACAUGGCGUACUGCUCAGUAACACGUGGAUAACCUGCCCUUGGGUCCGGCAUAACCCCGGGAAACUGGGGAUAAUUCCGGAUAACGCAUAUAUGCUGGAAUGCUUUCUGCGUAAAACGGAUUCGUCUGCCCAAGGAUGGGUCUGCGGCCUAUCAGGUAGUAGUGGGUGUAAUGUACCUACUAGCCUACGACGGGUACGGGUUGUGAGAGCAAGAGCCCGGAGAUGGAUUCUGAGACAUGAAUCCAGGCCCUACGGGGCGCAGCAGGCGCGAAAACUUUACAAUGCGGGAAACCGUGAUAAGGGGACACCGAGUGCCAGCAUCCUAUGCUGGCUGUCCGGGUGUGUAAAAUACACCUGUAGCAAGGGCCGGGCAAGACCGGUGCCAGCCGCCGCGGUAACACCGGCGGCCCGAGUGGUGAUCGUGAUUAUUGGGUCUAAAGGGUCCGUAGCCGGUUUGGUCAGUCCUCCGGGAAAUCUGACAGCUCAACUGUUAGGCUUUCGGAGGAUACUGCCAGACUUGGAACCGGGAGAGGUAAGAGGUACUACAGGGGUAGGAGUGAAAUCUUGUAAUCCCUGUGGGACCACCUGUGGCGAAGGCGUCUUACCAGAACGGGUUCGACGGUGAGGGACGAAAGCUGGGGGCACGAACCGGAUUAGACACCCGGGUAGUCCCAGCCGU